Molecule: ribosomal RNA, 292 nt
Filed under: uncultured bacterium
Lineage: Bacteria
Description: partial 16S ribosomal RNA
Source: RNAcentral
GGACUACCCGGGUAUCUAAUCCUGUUUGCUCCCCACGCUUUCGCGCCUCAGCGUCAGUAUCGGACCAGGUCGCCGCCUUCGCCACCGGUGUUCUUCCCAAUAUCUACGAAUUUCACCUCUACACUGGGAAUUCCACGACCCUCUUCCGAACUCCAGCACAGCCGUCUUAAACGCAGUCCCCAGGUUGAGCCCAGGAAUUUCACGUCUAACAAGCCACGCCGCCUACGCGCCCUUUACGCCCAGUCAUUCCGAGCAACGCUAGCCCCCUUCGUAUUACCGCGGCUGCUGGCAC